ACUAGUUGGAGCACCCCUGCAGGGUUAAAUCUUUCGGAAAGCCGUGCCCGCGGUUAUGUGGCAACGUGAAAGCUUUGUUUAACACUGGUUCUAGAUAACUUGAAGUUAACUUAAUUAAAACUUGCCAACUGUGUGCGUAACCGUGACUGUCUCUUUCGUGAGUUCCUUCUCCGAUCGAGGACACGGUGGGGUUAUGUCUGACGUAGAUAGGUGUU
RNAcentral lists this long non-coding RNA (215 nucleotides) under Hordeum vulgare. RNAcentral describes it as "long non-coding RNA (HVUL_LNC008263)". The record is from RNAcentral. Lineage: Eukaryota; Viridiplantae; Streptophyta; Magnoliopsida; Poales; Poaceae.